UCGGGUCUUUGGCAGACACCCGGUCACCCAGGACGAUUUCGUCCCAAGUGCUGC
Molecule: non-coding RNA, 54 nt
Filed under: unclassified sequences
Description: chromate-resist RNA
Rfam family: chrB-b RNA
Source: RNAcentral